This 485-nucleotide ribosomal RNA is filed under the name uncultured bacterium. RNAcentral describes it as "partial 16S ribosomal RNA". It matches the Rfam family "Bacterial small subunit ribosomal RNA", at positions 28 to 507 of the family's 1533-position model. The record is from RNAcentral.
GAUGAACGCUGGCGGCGUGCUUAACACAUGCAAGUCGAACGGGAUCCAAGGAGCGUUUUUCGUUUUUUGGUGAGAGUGGCGAACGGGUGAGUAACACGUGAGUAACCUGUCCUUUUCUUUGGGAUAAGCUCCUGAAAGGGUGUUUAAUACCUUAUGUUCUGUCUGCCUCGCAUGGGGUGGGUGGGAAAGAUUUUUUCGGUGAAGGGUGGGCUCGCGGUCUAUCAGCUUGUUGGUGGGGUGAUGGCUUACCAAGGCUUGGACGGGUAGCCGGCCGGAGAGGGUGGUCGUCCACAUGGGGACUGAGAUACGGCCCAGACUCCUGCGGGGGGCAGCAGUGGGGGUUAUUGCACAAUGGGCGCAAGCCUGAUGCAGCGACGCCGCGUGGGGGAUGAAGGCCUUCGGUUUGUAACCUUCUUUUGCUCUGAACAAGGCGCAUCUUUGGGGUGUGUUGAGUGUAGGGUUUGAUUAGCGCCGGCUACUACGUG